AGUGAACGCUGGCGGUAGGCCUAACACAUGCAAGUCGAACGGCAGCACAGUAAGAGCUUGCUCUUACGGGUGGCGAGUGGCGGACGGGUGAGGAAUACAUCGGAAUCUACUUUUUCGUGGGGGAUAACGUAGGGAAACUUACGCUAAUACCGCAUACGACCUACGGGUGAAAGCAGGGGAUCUUCGGACCUUGCGCGAUUGAAUGAGCCGAUGUCGGAUUAGCUAGUUGGCGGGGUAAAGGCCCACCAAGGCGACGAUCCGUAGCUGGUCUGAGAGGAUGAUCAGACAGACUGGAACUGAGACACGGUCCAGACUCCUACGGGAGGAAGCAGUGGGGAAUAUUGGACAAUGGGCGCAAGCCUGAUCCAGCCAUACCGCGUGGGUGAAGAAGGCCUUCGGGUUGUAAAGCCCUUUUGUUGGGAAAGAAAAGCAGCAGGUUAAUACCCCGCUGUUCUGACGGUACCCAAAGAAUAAGCACCGGCUAACUUCGUG
Molecule: ribosomal RNA, 492 nt
Filed under: uncultured bacterium
Lineage: Bacteria
Description: partial 16S ribosomal RNA
Rfam family: Bacterial small subunit ribosomal RNA
Source: RNAcentral